Molecule: long non-coding RNA, 305 nt
Filed under: Nicotiana benthamiana
Lineage: Eukaryota; Viridiplantae; Streptophyta; Magnoliopsida; Solanales; Solanaceae
Description: long non-coding RNA (NBEN_LNC024850)
Source: RNAcentral
UUUUAUGUUAGUUUGUCCCCUAAACCACCGAAUCCUUCAUCCUGUUGUAAAAAUGUGUGAUUUAAUUCCAGGUCGAUUGUUUAAGCUGUUGAUUGAAACUUCUGUUUAGCAUCAAUGUUCUGUGAUUUUGAUUAAUAUUCAGUUUAUUACAUUGAAUCAGUUUAAGUGGUCAGUUGGUAUGAUUGUUCAUUUAGUUGAUUUGGAUAUAGCUAUUGUAACUUGGUGUUUGAUUGGGAAUCAGUUUUGGUCAUUUGAUAUGUUUGAACAGGUUUCGAAUUGAAGGUUUCAACAUAGAUUAAAGAGGU